RNAcentral lists this transfer RNA (69 nucleotides) under Myotis septentrionalis (Northern long-eared myotis). RNAcentral's name for it is "tRNA-Phe". The record is from RNAcentral. Lineage: Eukaryota; Metazoa; Chordata; Mammalia; Chiroptera; Vespertilionidae.
GUUAAUGUAGCUUAAUACCAAAGCAAGGCACUGAAAAUGCCUAGAUGWGUUUUUCCUACUCCAUAAACA